GUGAAAGAAUUCAGCAGCACAUAUACUAAAAUUGGAAUGAUACAGAGAAGAUUAGCAUGGCCCCUGCACAAGAAUGACAUGCAAAUUCAUGAAAUGUUCUAUAUUUUU
Molecule: small nuclear RNA, 108 nt
Filed under: Neotoma lepida (desert woodrat)
Lineage: Eukaryota; Metazoa; Chordata; Mammalia; Rodentia; Cricetidae
Source: RNAcentral